This 253-nucleotide ribosomal RNA is filed under the name uncultured bacterium. Its description in RNAcentral is "partial 16S ribosomal RNA". It matches the Rfam family "Bacterial small subunit ribosomal RNA", at positions 524 to 776 of the family's 1533-position model. The record is from RNAcentral.
UACGUAGGGUGCAAGCGUUGUCCGGAAUUAUUGGGCGUAAAGAGCUCGUAGGCGGUUUGUCGCGUCUGCUGUGAAAACUCGGGGCUUAACCCCGGGCCUGCAGUGGGUACGGGCAGACUAGAGUGCGGUAGGGGAGACUGGAAUUCCUGGUGUAGCGGUGAAAUGCGCAGAUAUCAGGAGGAACACCGGCGGCGAAGGCGGGUCUCUGGGCCGUAACUGACGCUGAGGAGCGAAAGCGUGGGGAGCGAACAGG